Misgurnus anguillicaudatus (oriental weatherfish) is the source of this 531-nucleotide non-coding RNA. NCBI's taxonomy places the organism in Eukaryota, Metazoa, Chordata, Actinopteri, Cypriniformes, Cobitidae. The record is from RefSeq and is a predicted model, not a curated record.
UGCGAUCGACCAGUUGAUUAUUUGUGUGCAAAUGGUAUGUUCCACGGGUAUAAAAGGGGAUGAGAUUGACAGGCAACCAAGCGCACGUCACCAAACGCGUCAUCUGGGAUUUCGGAAGUGAUGUAACUUCCUGUGGGUCGUGUUUAUGUCUACGAGUGUGCGGCUGAGGAAUAUUGUGGAUGUGUCGAGUGACACUUUGUCAGCUUUUCACUGAUACACGUCAAGUGUGCGGAGCGGUGUGAGCCCUAUUUGGCAGAAUUGGGGUACCAGUGCGAGCCAGUGUCUGCGGUGUGUGGUGGUGGGACAGCUGUCAACUUGCAGUGAUCACAAUUUGGUGUGUGGUGUUGUGAGAGAACACGAGUGCUUGCUGUGUUUAACUAAAAGGCAGUACAAAUUCCCCCAGUUCUGAAGUGGUAAAACAAGUGUGCAUGGAUGAAUGAUGUCGUGACUUAUUGUACUCUUUUUAACUUUUUGCAUAUUAAAAUGAAUUAUGUAUUUUCCAUGUGUUUUGAAUAAAUUGUUUCAAAUAUU